GUCCUCGCGCAAGUCGGGGCCGCAAAUCCCGCCAGGUCCGGAAGGAAGCAACGGUAGUGGUUUUCGGCUGUGCAGCGAGAUCACC
RNAcentral lists this signal recognition particle RNA (85 nucleotides) under Deltaproteobacteria bacterium. Its description in RNAcentral is "signal recognition particle sRNA small type". It matches the Rfam family "Bacterial small signal recognition particle RNA". Rfam says of the family: The signal recognition particle (SRP) is a universally conserved ribonucleoprotein involved in the co-translational targeting of proteins to membranes. The record is from RNAcentral. Lineage: Bacteria; Pseudomonadati; Myxococcota; Myxococcia.